Molecule: long non-coding RNA, 664 nt
Filed under: Brassica napus (rape)
Lineage: Eukaryota; Viridiplantae; Streptophyta; Magnoliopsida; Brassicales; Brassicaceae
Description: long non-coding RNA (BNAP_LNC006030)
Source: RNAcentral
UUUGGUUCAUUUCUUUUCACUUUCACUCACAUCCCAAUCCCAAGAUCAAAAGAAUUUAAGUUCACAAACCCAACAACCAUCCUAGAGGCUAGCCUAAAUGAGGUCCUAAUGCUAGCCAAAGAUGAGAACAACUCAUUGUCGCUCCUAAUACUCUCAAAAUUUUGCACAUGACAUGCUAUCAAUAAAAGGCCUCACUCAAGCAAAUUAAUGUUGGUUUCAAAGAAUGGUGAGGGUUAAUGGGUAUGAAGUGUCAUUUGGGUUAACAAAGAUUGGUACAAAGAGAGAAAGAUAACCCAAAUGUGUAUAAUAUCCAUGAUCAAGUAUGCAAAUGCCCAUAUGCAAGAGAGAUUAAGUUCAUUAAGCCCUAGUUCAUUUGGAGUUUGUUUCAAGAACAAUGCCAAUCAUCAAGCAAACAACAUGUUUCAAGAAGAGUUUUCAAGGCUCGAAGCUUACAAGCUUUUUCAAGAGAUGCUUAAGCUACUUGAUAUGUUUAGCUAGGAUGUCAAAUUGAGUUCUAGACAUGUGUUCUUUACAAGGUUUCUCCCAAUGCAUGAAUGCAAUCUAAAUGCUUCUAGACUCAAUCCUAAAGAUUCAAAUGGAUCAAGUGAAACUACAUGAAGAUUUUUAAAAAAAAAUCAAAUUUUUAUGAAUUUUCUAUGCAAAU